RNAcentral lists this ribosomal RNA (511 nucleotides) under Oreodytes congruus. RNAcentral's name for it is "partial 16S ribosomal RNA". The stretch from base 385 to 511 matches the Rfam family "Bacterial large subunit ribosomal RNA", at positions 2473 to 2600 of the family's 2925-position model. The record is from RNAcentral. Lineage: Eukaryota; Metazoa; Arthropoda; Insecta; Coleoptera; Dytiscidae.
GUCCUUUAGAAAAUAGAAUUUAAGGUCUAACCUGCCCACUGAAAUUUUAAAUGGCCGCAGUAAUUUGACUGUGCAAAGGUAGCAUAAUCAUUAGUUUUUUAAUUAAAAGCUUGUAUGAAUGGUUGGACGAAAUAAAAUCUGUCUCUAAAUAAAUAUUAGAAUUUAAUUUUUAAGUUAAAAAGCUUAAAUAUUAUUAAAAGACGAGAAGACCCUAUAGAUCUUUAUAAUAUUUUUUAUAGUUUUAUUUAGGAUUUAUUUAUUAAUUAUAUUAAAUAUUAUUUUAUUGGGGUAAUAAAAAGAUUAAAUUAAUUCUUUUUUUAAUUUAACAAAAAUAAUUGAUUAUAUGAUCCUUUUUUAUUGAUUAUAAGAUUAAGUUACCUUAGGGAUAACAGCGUAAUUUUUUUAGAGAGUUCAUAUCGAUAAAAAAGUUUGCGACCUCGAUGUUGGAUUAAAAAUUAUUUUGGGUGUAGAAGUUCAAAGUUUUGGUCUGUUCGACCAUUAAAUUUUUACA